UGUAUUCACUACUGUAAGUCACUCUGGAUAAGAGUGUCUGCUAAAUUACUAAAU
Non-coding RNA from Salmo salar (Atlantic salmon), 54 nucleotides. The record is from Rfam. NCBI's taxonomy places the organism in Eukaryota, Metazoa, Chordata, Actinopteri, Salmoniformes, Salmonidae.